This 440-nucleotide ribosomal RNA is filed under the name uncultured bacterium. RNAcentral describes it as "partial 16S ribosomal RNA". It matches the Rfam family "Bacterial small subunit ribosomal RNA", at positions 338 to 795 of the family's 1533-position model. The record is from RNAcentral.
CCUACGGGAGGCAGCAGUGGGGAAUAUUGGACAAUGGGGGAAACCCUGAUGCAGCGACGCCGCGUGAGUGAAGAAGUAUCUCGGUACGUAAAGCUCUAUCAGCAGGGAAGAAAAUGACGGUACCUGACUAAGAAUCCCCGGCUAACUACGUGCCAGCAGCCGCGGUAAUACGUCGGGGGCAAGCGUUAUCCGGAUUUACUGGGUGUAAAGGGAGCGUAGACGGCAGUACAAGUCUGGAGUGAAAUCCCGGGGCUUAACCCCCGAACUGCUUUUGAAACUGUGAGGCUGGAGUGCAGGAGGGGUAAGCGGAAUUCCUAGUGUAGCGGUGAAAUGCGUAGAUAUUAGGAGGAACACCGGUGGCGAAGGCGGCUUACUGGACUGUAACUGACGUUGAGGCUCGAAAGCGUGGGGAGCAAACAGGAUUAGAUACCCUGGUAGUC